Poecile atricapillus (Black-capped chickadee) is the source of this 11949-nucleotide RNA transcript. It is a transcript of the gene named dehydrogenase/reductase 3, with no coding region annotated. The record is from RefSeq and is a predicted model, not a curated record. The transcript is spliced from 7 exons. NCBI's taxonomy places the organism in Eukaryota, Metazoa, Chordata, Aves, Passeriformes, Paridae.
GCGCCGCGGCCCUGAGCGGCAGAGACAGCAAUAGGCAGAAAUGAGUAAGAGCCGGAGCAGUGCACGGCGUAAUUCCUGCUCUGUGAUCAGACACUCCAAGUGAAAAAACCGGGAGAGGGGGCAGAGAGAGGCAGUGACCGGCUCAACCUUUGCAACCGGCUCAGGACAGAACGUCUAUAGAUAUUUAUAGAUACUAAAACAAAAACAACAACCUCACCCUGAAUAGAGCCUUUCUUAAAAAGAAGGUCCUGGCAAUUCUGUCUUAUUUAAGCAAUUUCCUGAGUCUAAGAAUAGAAAUGAGCUGCCUGGAAGGCACUGCAGGCUGAAAUUUGGAGACAUGGGCUGCUUUAUUUUAUUUUUCUAAAUAUAAAAACCUUUCGUUUGGAUACUGGAUUUUUAUGUGGGUCUUUGCAGCGGAGGGAUGUAUGGUUACUUUUAAUUCUACUUUUUUUUUCUCUCUCUUUUAAUUUAAAAAAAAAAAAAAAUCAUCCAGUUAAAAGCAAGGAAGCUGUUUUACCUGCCUUUGAGAAUCCCAGAGGACACCGAUCAAGAAACAGGGGAGUGACUUGGUCUUCUGCACUACUUUAUUCCUACCCCCAUUUUUUUUUAGGGGGAGAGAAGGAUUUUUUCCAGUCCAAGAACCUCUUGCCCCCAAGUUUUGGAAGGGGGUUGAAGACUUGUCACCCGUCUGGGGGUGCAUGAAGGGCAUUGCUUUUCUUUCCCUGUCACCUUGGUUUUGUGGAGGUUUGGAAGAGAACUUUGCCUGGGAGAAGAGGAUGAUGUGGAAGUGGCUGGGUGCCCUGCUGCUGUUCCCGGUGCAGAUGGUGUACCUGGUGGUGAAAGCUGCCGUGUGCCUGGUGCUGCCGCCCAAGCUGCGAGACCUGUCCCGGGAGAACGUGCUGGUCACCGGCGGGGGCCGAGGCAUCGGCCGCCACCUGGCCCGGGAAUUCGCCAGGAAAGGAGCCAGGAAGAUCAUCCUGUGGGGUCGGACUGAGAAAUGCCUGAAGGAGACCACGGAGGAGAUCAGGAUGAUGGGGACAGAGUGCCACUACUUCAUCUGUGAUGUGGGAAACCGGGAGGAAGUCUAUCGGCAAGCCAAGGCCGUGCGGGAAAAGGUGGGUGACAUCACCAUCCUGGUGAACAAUGCUGCUGUGGUCCAUGGGAAGAGCCUGAUGGACAGUGAUGAUGAUGCACUGCUCAAAUCCCAGCACAUAAACACCCUGGGACAGUUCUGGACCACGAAAGCAUUCCUGCCAAGGAUGCUGGAGCUGCAGAAUGGGCACAUUGUUUGCCUGAACUCUGUCCUGGCCUUGUCAGCCAUCCCUGGUGCCAUUGACUAUUGCACCUCCAAAGCCUCAUCCUUUGCUUUCAUGGAGAGCCUGACCCUGGGGCUGCUGGACUGUCCUGGAGUGAAUGCCACCACAGUCCUGCCCUUCCACACCAGCACAGAGAUGUUCCAGGGCAUGAGAAUCAGGUUCCCUAGUCUUUUUCCUCCUCUCAAGCCAGAGACAGUGGCAAGGAGGACAGUAGAAGCUGUUCAGAUGAAUCAAGCCUUCCUUCUCCUUCCAUGGACAAUGCAUGUUCUUGUUAUCCUAAAAAGCAUUCUCCCCCAGGCAGCACUUGAAGAAAUCCACAAGUUUUCUGGGAGCUACACCUGCAUGAACACUUUUAAAGGACGAACAUAGACCUGAUGGCACAAGGACUGUUCUGCAGUGAACUCAGCACAAGCAUGAAAAUCCUACAGGACUGUGAAUCAGCAAGUCUUGGCUUUCAGCCUGUUCAUGUGACUUGUGCUGCUCUGAGGCAACACAUUUCUUGCAGGUCAUAUCCAUAGUAACAUGACCUUUGCACAGGAUUGAGUGAGUGGACUAUGGACCCUUGGAAAGAAAAACAGAAAGUGUGAAAUGUUUCUAUGAUGUUUAAUUCUUUAGAGUUCAACUGUUAAAUCUACUCAUAGUUUUAAGAUGUGAUUUUUGUUUCUUAAGUGUCUGUGGGCUGUCUCAGUGGAGAGGCAGCACAUCCCAUCCCAAACACACUUUGUGCCCUCUCUCCAGAGGAACUGCCACUGGUUUCAUUUCAGCUUUUUGAAUGAGGAACUUCAAAAUUACUUUAAAGAACUAAAAGAUAUGGACAUUUAAUGGAUGCUUCCUUCUCUUUCUUCACUUUCCAUCCCAUGAUGAAGCUGUUCCCAGCACACACUGGGGAAGGAGCAAACCAUGAAGCAAUGUUUUCUUUGCUAAAGGCUACCCAGGACUUCUCUUUCUGGGCCCAAAAAAGCUGCUCUACUUCCCUUGUGGAGGCUGGACAGGAAGGCUCAGGCAGCAGAGCUGAGAGUUUAAAUAGUGGAAGAUUCUUUCUGUCACUGAACUCAUGUGUGAAAUAGUCGUUCUGAUUUUUUUUGUGUUCAUUUAUGAUAAAAUAUAAAUAGAUUUUUAGCUUUAAUCCCAGAUUGCCACACAUGUAGGCAGCAGCACAUUGGGGAUGAACUAAAUCUAGAACUAAAACUAGAGCCUGCUUGUACAAACACACAUUCACUGACAUAAUCCAUGCAGAGGAAAAUCCAUUGUAUCAAUCUGCACAGUGAAGUGGAAUAACGCUCUAAAGGACAGUACUCUCGUGCUCAUGAGGUGUGAAACCUAGGAGCACAUUUAGCAAAGACCUGAUGAAAUGCAUUUUGAAUUCAUCUGGCAAUAAACCCAUUGUGCUUUAGGGACAUUGAAUCAGGCACUGAUCAGCCAAAAGUGGUAAAUACACUUGGACUGAGGUGCCAGAAGCAGCUAGACAUUAUUUAUUUUUGUAAUGAUAUAUUCUCUUUGACAGCCUAGGAAGGGCAACACUGCAUUUCUGUGCAAAAUGCAGUGAGCAGCACAUUGGAGCACUACUAACAGAGGAAUUAAUAUAAUUGCAAUACAGGAAGUAGCAAGUCUAACUGGAGACACCUGAAUGAAGUGCCUCAAGGAUGGAUGUGUGAUUAAAGGAGCGAAUUUAGGGCUCCUGACUUGAAUUUCAAGCUUUUCCAUAGAUGUCCUGUGUGGCUUGGAGCAAAAUGCAUCAUCUGAAAGAGCACCCUGACCUGCAAAGCAGAUUUUUUUAGUGUUUCCCUACCUCAGAAUUGCAAGUCUGACUACCUAAAUGUCUGUCAAAAGCUCAGCAAAUUCAAAUGCAACGUGUUAUAGAAAGGAAAAGCAGUAUUUGUUAAUAGACCAAGAGGUUCUAUACAAAAAUUCAGAUGAGGAAAAAAACCCAUAUGCCAAAAUAUAUCAUCUCCUAGAAGACAUCUGAGGUACAGCAGAAAAGCUGUGAGCUGUGUUUAAAAUACUCCUUUGGUCCUGCCAUGUAGAAUGGAGACCUGCUGUGAGGUACAAAGGUGUGAAUGUUAAAAUCAGGUCUGACCUUACUGCAGACCACUGGAUUUCUCCCUUCUGGAGCUCUCCAAGAGGAAGAUGCUGCCAGAAGUGCCACUGUUGAAGUCCCUCUGCCUGGUUUUCCUUGGAAUUCCUGGAUGUCUGAGGCUCUCUGGAGAGGAUGGAAAAAACCUUCAAUCUCUGUGAUUUUGAGGCCUACUCUAAUAGAUGCUUCCAGCUUUAUUUUUUGUCACUUUUUUUGAGAAGCCCAUCUCACUGAAAAGUCAAGUGCCACGUGGGCAGAGCCCUUCCAGGAAUAUUCAGUGCCUGGAAUCCUGAAGGUAGCAGGUUUAUCAGGAGAGGUUUGGGAGAGGAAGGUAUGGUGAUGCCCACUUCCCCUUGUACCCUCUGAUCCAUUCCAGUUCUCAUUUACCCCAGCUGCAGGAGUAAAAACAACCAUGGUGAAAGAGCAGUGUCCCCUUGCAGUUAAACCUUUGUGCUGAGAUUCUGUUUAUUGGUAACUUCCUAAUGCAAAAGUGAGGUAAAAACACAGACUGGAAUCCCCGUUCAUCCCCAAAUCCUGUCCUUUAAAUAGAUCUGCUCUUUCCCUGCACCACUCAAAAGAUGUUCCCUUAUCUCCAGAGUUGCCUUACACACGAAGUGCUGUUGAUUUCUUUCUGAUGAAUAUAAACAAGUCAGAACAUAGCUGAGACUCAUCAUCUCUCUCCUCUCGUACACACACAGAGCUCCCUCUCUCUUCCCCCAGGGUCCUGCAGCGGACAGAGGGUCAAAUAGCAGUCACAGUGGGGGAGAGGGUUGCAGCAAACAGAAAAUAAUGAGGAAAACAUUGACUUUGCUGUUCAGAUAGCCAGGGAGAGUUGGGUAAGAGAGUUCCUUCUCUGGUGAGUGUUGCGAGACAGGACGGUCUCCAUCCAGCAAGCGACUGCAAACGUGGAUGGAGACACUGAAGACUUUUUUAUUUUAAUAGAAAGGCUCCUCUGGAAUGCCUGCUGAGGUCUGCUGGGACCUUCCCACAGAAGGGGAGUGUUGGGUAAUCUUGAAGCACUGCAAAUGUGGACAAGCUUUGUUGAAGCCUAAGGCCUUCUCCGAGGAAUUUCCGCCCUUUGACUUAUUUUAAUUUUGAUUUUCCCCGCUCUCUCUCCUGCCUCCUGCUCUCCACUGCACAGUUUUUUUCCCUUCUGUUUUCCUAUGUCAUCACUGCAGUUUUCUGUGCCACCAUCUUGAAGCCAGAUGUCACAGGAGAGCCUGGAGUAAAUCGAGAUCGGGGUAUCCAUUUCUAUAUGCUGGAGGAAUCCAGGUGAAGCUGCAGGAGCAGAUCACAGCAGUUUCAUGGGAAAUUAGUUUUACUUGCUCCGAAUUCUGAAGAAGUAAAAAGAGUCCUCGCUAUUGCUCUUAUACAGGAGAUUGCUGCUGGUUUAAAGUUUGAAUGAUAGAGAAACAUGGGCUGAUUUGGGACAUGCUCCCCUGACAAAAAAAGGCCAAAUUUAAAUAGGAGGAUUUUUCUGUUCAAGGUGGCUUCAAGGGCCGCUGUUUUUACAAAGUGAUUUUCAGAAUUAGCAAGGCAGGGCAGGGAGAGGAAGAAUCCCUCAUGUCUGAUACUUCAUUUUGUGGUUUUUGAUGAGGAAAAAAAGCACCCUCAUGGUGAAAAUGAAAAAGGUUGUUCCAGCCACGUCCCUGCCAAUGGCGUGAUUUAAGCAGCAUGACAAAAAAGAGCAGGCCCUGAAGGUGGGAGCUGUACCCUCCCCACUCACCCAUUGUUCUGUUGAGGUUAAAAAGCAAUAGAGUCUGUCCCUCAAGUUCUUCUAGAACUGCACAGAAAGUGCCUGGGUAAGUGAUUCUGAUGUUUGCAAAGAGAAACUUGUUGUACUUUUAUGUAAUGUGUUAAUUAGUGUGGGUGGGUAUGAUCAGAUCUUGUCUUGCAAGCCUUUCCGACAACUCCCUGAACACUCCCACCUUCAGAUAUUAACAGAUAGCACUUGCCAAAGCUCCUAAAAACCCAGUAACAGACUUAAUGCAGGCAGAGCAUAAGUGGGUGCGUGUAUUUCAAAGAGAACACAUCUGCUUGUAGCAGACAUUAAUGUGGCCUAGUGCCUUCCUCGAGCUGAAGUGCAACUGUUGAGAAAAGAAUACAGGGUGAUCCUUGGAUCAUUCCUUUUGAUUUUGUUUCUUCACGUGGCUUUAAUAAAUUUAUUUUAGGUGACAGCCACUUUGACAGCACUGGUUCCAAGGUUGGGGUAAAGCAAGAUUAUGUCAAAUGCAGUAUUUUGCAUUUUUACCAACCAGCAGCCCUGAGAAUGAAAAUAUUCGGCACUGUUUGCAGCUCUCACCUCCCCGGCACUAAGAUCCUGGUAUGUUUGGAGUCUGAGCAAACCUGUCAGUCACCAGCAGCAGUUGCAUUCUCUAGGGAACAGAAUCCUCUUUGACCUAAUGCUUUUCUGAAGGAGAUGUUGAGUAGUGGCAGCCACAGAUUCAGGGACUUAGAGAAAGACGAGAGGAAAAACAGAACUUCAGCUGCUCCCUGCAGCUCUCUCUCUUCUAUCCCGUGUUUCCUGUGGGAAGAUGGUGAUUCAGAUAUUUCUUGCCACCUUUACCACCCCUGUUCUACUGAGGUCACCUCAGCACCUUCCUUCAGUACCUUCAGGAAGCUGAAGCUUCAGCACAAACACCCCAAGGAGUUGGAUCAGCAGGUAAGGAGUGGGAGAGCAGACAGGGACAGGUGGAACACAGGGGGCACACCUGAUUGUGAGUCCCUGCCCCAUCCUUGCUUUCAACAUCACCCCCUCUUUUGUUCCUGUAACAGAUCCUGCCCAGAAACACACGCUGACCUGCCUGGCCUGCACUAAAGGCACAAACCUCUCAAUUUGGAUCUUCACACCUUCCCAACAAGUCCAAGCUUACUAGUUCUUCAUGCUCACCUCUGCAUUGUGACACUAGCACAGAAAAAAAAUUCAGGCAAAUCUGUGAUGAUUUUUUUUAAUGCAUCGUAUAAUGAUAUUUUUCUGCGUAAAACUAGAACAAUUCCUCCUUAAGUGAGGGAAGAAGGCACUGUAAUUAGAGUUGGAGAGUGACUGAAAAGUAUAUGAGAAUACAAAAUAGAAGAUAAGAUGCAAUCUUAGGGGGAGUGUGAUGGCCCUAAACAGACAGAGGCAAGAUGCCACCUUUCCAUCCCUGAAGUUAUAUAAUAACAGAGGCGUGUGAUUUCCAGCCAAACACAAAGUCUAUAAAAGAAGCCUGUUGUUGCUCCUGCUCAUUCCAGUGGGUCACCAUGCCCUAAAAAGCAGUCAAUUUUGUAGCUUGCUGGCUUGGAAACUCUAAAUAUGCUGGUAACUGAUGGCUGACUCUUGGUUUUAUUUUGAGGGAGGGAAAGCAGCCCAAACAUGUAAAAGCAAGGGUCAGUUUGACUCCCUACUCACUUUUUCCAGCUGCAAGAGCCAUCCAUCAUGUGUAGGUAUUACAAGGACAUACUUCUCUGGCUUGUGUCAGUAAUCAUCCUGACCUGGUGCUACUAGGUAGAUGUGGUUCCAUUUCCUAUUUUUUUCUUGAGCAAAAGCAUUUUUUAAAUAGAUUUUUUCUUUAUGUGAGUUAGUUGCCUCUGUAUUGUACAGGCUGUUCACAGCCAGGCAUCCUAGACAUGAAGUUUCCCUAUCAGUGUUAAUCAAACGAUAAUGAAAGGAAUACAGAAGUUCCUGUUGGAUAUCUUCCUUCCCCAAGCCCUGUGGAACUAAGGACAGGAACACUGUUGGAAGAGCAAUGCCUUAAAUCAAUCCAUCUCAGAAGCCUGCUGGCUUGUCUGUCUGACUUCCAAAAAUUGUCUUCCUUCCUGUCCCUGGGGCAUUUGGCACUGAGUUUGGUUUCCUGAGCAGGUCACUGUCACAGUGCACUUGUACAGUAAAGGCUGCACAUACAAACUCUGAACAGAUUUAAACUUCUGGUCCCACAGGACACUCCUGAGAAAUCCAGAUUACAGGAGGAGGUGUCAUCAGGUAACCAGUACAAACCCAAGCACUGGGGGAGGGCUCUGCUCACACCUCCCACCUCCUGCCUCAGAUCUGAGCCCUGACUGGACCCUUGGACCACCACGUGCAAACCCUGGCAGCAGCAGUCCAUGAACCUUCCUUAAUUCUUCUUAAUUCCUGAAUUUUUUAGCAUCAGAGACACUUUGGGGUGUGGCCAGCAGCUGCCCUUGGGCAUUGCUGUUGAUGUGAUCAGUGUUCCCAGAGCCUGGCACAUGGCAGCAGUAACUUCAGCCUAAGAUAAGGAGGCAAUUCCUUGCUGUCUUUUCCAGGAAAGUCAACUCUUAGUGCUUUAUGCAGAGAGGACUGAAGUAAGUGCAGGGUGACAGGGUUCCUGGGGUGUUUUGGCAACGUGAGUACUGCUGUUGUACAGAAUAAGAAAAAAGGACUCAUGUCAGAGGAAUGUUAACAGAAGAUAGAAAUGGCAAUAAUGGAAAACAAGUGAUAUCCAAACACAUAAUUCCUGUUCCCAGAACCUGCUGGGAGCACUGAUUCCCUGCAGACAUGGCACAGGGAAGUCAGUUCACUCCACAGUCUUACACCUCCUUCAAGUCUGCCUACUACAAGUAGCAGCAGAGGUGACAAGCUCAUGAUCUCUGCUCUCUCAACUGUUAAAUGUAGCAAAACAGGUGCUAAAAAAAAUAAAAUCCAUCCAUCAGAGAACAAAGCAAUUCUUUGGGUCAGUGUCAGCCUUAGAGAAUGGAGGAGGCUCUCAGGUACCAGAGAAAGGAGCCACAGCAGUUCCCACCUGAUUCCAGGAGGUCUUGGGCCUCAUCUCCCCUUGUUAAUGGUAAUUAAUGUGGAGGAUUAAUAAAUUGUCUCAAUUCAGCCAUGGGAUUAAACAGAAUCACAGACCAGCGUGGCUCUCUUCUUCCCAGCAAUAAAAUCCCUUGUGUUCUUUCCUGAACUCCCAUCAGAGCUGCAAAUUCAUGGAGAACACUUGUGGAGCCAAGCAAUAUUUUACUCCUGUUCCAAGGACUGUGCAAAAGACAGUGGAGAGAGACAUGAGCAAGCACUAUCACCUGUGCUUUGGUGGCUGAAUAGUCUGUAACUUUCAACAUUCUGAUAUUUUUGAUUAUUCAGUAGAAGCAAUCUGACAUGUUUCUCGACUGUCUGCUAUAGCCAAAAAACUUUCUUCAACCACCUCAACUAUUACAAUAUUUUUGAACCCUAAAACCACAUUCAGUUUCUCUGUUGUCCUUUUGUUUUAGCAGAGGUUUAAUAAGCACGUGAAUCAAAUGAUCAAAUGUAGCCUUGAAUUUCUUUAGAAGUGAUCUGAUGCUGAUGUAGAAAGAUAAUUUAAUAUUAAAAUAAUUUAAUAUUAAUUUAAUAUUAAAAAAAAUUUAAACCCAGUGUUGAUGUUGUGUAGCAAAAGUUUUUACAUAUGUUAAAAAGUAUGUAAGUCAUUUACAAACAACUCAGUUUAACUGUGCAAUAGAAUGCUCUGUUUCCAUCAUCCCAGGGAAACAGCAUUGAGCUCCUGACCUCAUUCUGUUUUACACAUGCAGAGUCUUCAUUCCAGUUUUAAAAAUAAAUUACAGGAUUGUAAGUUUUCUUAUGUAAAAACUACUGCUUGGCUUUGAAUUCAGGCAAGUACACACAGAUCUCACCCCACAUCAAUUAUGAAAAUAAUGUUAAUUCUCUCAAAUUCUGAAGCCCAGGAUUUAAGAGCAGUUACACUUUCUGGCUGGAGAUGUCACAUUUCCCGUGAUGCAACGUAGGAGGUAGAGUUACAAUCUUCAAUAUUUCCCUUUAAAAACCUCUUCCCAUUGCCUGAGCUGCCAGUGGCUGCUAAAGGCACCGAGCAGAGGAAGUUCUUUUCCAUCUUUCCCCUGACCCGAGUUCAUCUGAGAAGAGCUGCUUUUGAAUGAGCCACAGGAGCCAUGCUGAGUUUAUUUUCACUGGGUUUAUAUUAGGUCUGAUUUCUGCUGAUCCCUUCAUUUUUCAUCAUUUCAUCUGUCUCUUCCAGUUGUUCCCGUUGGAGAGGGCUGUGUUUGGAGAGUUCCUGAGCCAGAACGCUGUGCCUGCAGAUUGUUCAUCGCCCUCCCCUCAGGCAGUCCCUCACCUGUGCCUUUUGCACACCUUCUGAGACAUUAACUCUGCAAACUGCCCUAAAUAUCUUCAGAUUUGUUCCUUUGAAGCAUGAAGUGUAGCUAAACCCCAGAGAACUGUUACUUCUGUUCAUAACUGCACAUUCUGUUUAACACCUACACGAUCCGAAUUUGAACUGGGAAGGACUGGGAGGGAGUGGGUGGCCAGAACCUCACUUUAUGGUUAGAGGGGGAAUCAUAAGGUAAAAGUCAUCUGUUGAAAAAUAGAAACACGGUGCAAGCCCCAAUACCCAGCACUGCUCUUUGAUUUCUUCUGAUAAUUUACCAUACACAAACAGUAAAAUAGAUUAAUUUCAUGUUACUUCAGGGUCCUUUUGCAGUCUAAGGUACACAUCCUUUAAAGCUGGGUGAGCAACUUGAUUCCAGUGAUCUUUAUUACAGGCAGCAGCACUGCUUUACCUGGGCAAUUCCUGCAUAAAAAUCAGCCUGUUUUCUUUCAAUGGAUCAAUUUUACAUAAAAUUUUUUCAGAUUUUCAUUUAUCAAAUAUUUUAUGCACACGAUGGUUCUCGGCCAGCGAUUUCCUUGUGAGCUCUUCCCGCUUUGAGCGCUUGCCAUUCAUUAAUGUUCGGUUUUUCCUGUGGAACUGGCCAUCCCAAUCACAUGGUGGCUUUGCUUUCUCCUGGCUGGAUGCCUUCCAAUCCCACAGAAAGCUUUCUAGGGGCUCCAGGAUGUCUGGUGAUGACUGUGAGAUGGCUUCUGGCAGCAGUGUUAAUGCAAACGCAUAUUUGAGCGUGUUCUCAUGACAUAUUUCCAAUCCUGUGAUCAAAAAACGUGCCUAUGGACAUUUUCAAGGGAAAAAAAAACCAAUUUGGGAUACUGUCAAAAGUGCAUUUGCCUUUACUUACAGCAGAAAUUUUUCAGAGUUUGGUUUUGUUUCUUUCACUGGAUUCACCUCUCAACCUCAGAUCAUCAGGGGGAAAAUCGUGACACUGGAAAUGCUGCGAAGAGUUCAUUAAAAUAUGAGUGACCUCCCGACAUCAGGGCAUAUUUCCAUGAGGGGAAUGGCAUGAUGGUGUUUUGGGAUUUGUGUUGCUGCAUACUCACCCUUGGUUCAUUUAAGAAAAUAAAGUGGACUUAGAGCUGUGCUGCAGGUGAGGUUUGGGAAGUGAGGAAAUGCAGGGAAAGCGCUGCACAUUGCUUGACUCUCACCUGGGCCAGCUUGGCCCUGCCAGAGCACUUCCAUUUGUUACAGACACAGGAAGGGACACAGAAAAUGCUACAGUCUCACCUGGUGGCACACAAUGAGAUAAUUUAUGAUUGUACUGCUGGUACAGCCCAGGGGCUGCCAGAGUCCAGGUCAGAAAUCCCAACAAAAUACGGUAUUUGUUCAUGAUCUGUUGCUUAAUUAUUUCACUCUGUAUAGACAAACCCCAGUGGCAAAUCUCUAAUCGGAUUUUCACACUUGCCCUUGAGUUCUUGGAUUAGAUUGCUGCUUCCUCUUAAUGCCAUAAUUACAACAUUUCCAUGCCUUAAACCAAAACAAGGCUUGGAAACCAAAAUCCUGUGGCUGCUGCAGCCCAGGGAUGUUCUGGGGGAAGGGGGAAGGUAUCUGCCGUGCUGAAUUGGCCUAGAAAUCACACAGAGGCUCUGAGGGUUUAAUCACAGAGAUAUUUGCUCAGUGGCACUCACGAUGGGAUUUUUUCAUGGAACUUGGAGCAAACGUAGCCUUUGUUUGCAUUUUUCCACAGGAUUUAUUUACUGUUCAUUUGUGCUGCACAUGCUGUGAGAAAUUAAGCCAUUAUGUCCAUAUUUUUUUUCCUUUCUCCUGCUUUCAUUCCUUCCCCCCCACCCCACACCCCUUCAAAAUCCUUACAAUUCCUUUCACUGCUUGGUGUUAACAGGACAAAAGAAAUAAAUACUUGAAAGAAGAUACAAGCUGUGUUUCUGUUUGACUUUGGAGCUGCUGUGGUAACCGAAUACCAGUCUGCAAGGUCAGAAAAAGAAAGGAAGAAAUAAGAAAACUGCCCAAAAGCUCAGACCAUGGGGCUCAUUGGCUUUUGCCCAGCAAUUUCCAGCCACAUGCCCCGAGAGCUGAGCAGUCACUCUGUAAAUCUCUGAGUGUUUCAUAUAGUUUCCUUGUCAUGUGGCCAUUAAGUUUUAUAACCUUUAUAUUUCAAGGGAAACAAUGAACGUGAAUUCCUUCGAAACGCCCUAAUAGAUCCCACAUGUGAGCGAUCUUUCAUAUUUUGGUUGCUCUGUAGGUGCUGCACCCCGUGCCUGGGGAUGGUUGGUGUUGGCUCUGGGCCUCGGAGCCGCUCGGUGCUGUCCCCACGCCGGUGCUGAGGUCACUGUCCAGCCACAGCGGCCGCUGGCCCAGCCCAGGAACCCCGAGAGCACCGAAACCACCGGGGCUUGACUGCGAAACAAAGACAGACAGACAAGAAAGGCAAGAAAGAAAAAAAUUACAGAUAAGAAAGACAAGAAAGAAAGACAAGAAAGACAAGAAAGAAAGACAAGAA